This 406-nucleotide ribosomal RNA is filed under the name uncultured bacterium. RNAcentral's name for it is "partial 16S ribosomal RNA". It matches the Rfam family "Bacterial small subunit ribosomal RNA", at positions 30 to 526 of the family's 1533-position model. The record is from RNAcentral.
AUUGAACGCUGGCGGCAAGCCUAACACAUGCAAGUCGAACGAGUGGCGGACGGGUGAGUAAUGUCUGGGAAACUGCCUGAUGGAGGGGGAUAACUACUGGAAAAGGUAGCUAAUACCGCAUACCAUCGGAUGUGCCCAGAUGGGAUUAGCUAGUAGGUGGGGUAAAGGCUCACAUAGGCGACGAUCCCUAGCUGGUCUUAGAGGAUGACCGGCCACAUGGGAACUGAUACACGGUCCAGACCCCUACGGGAGGCAGCAGUGGGGAAUAUUUCACAAUGGGCGAAAGCCUGAUGCAGCCAUGCCGCGGGUAUGAAGAAGGCCUUCGGGUUGUAAAGUACUGUCAGCGGGGAGGCGUUACCCGCAGAAGAAGCACCGGCUAACUCCGUGCCAGCAGCCGCGGUAAUAC